CUUUCUACACAGGUUGGGAUCAGUUGCAAUGCUGUGUGUGACUGUGGUAUUGCACUUGUCCCGGCCUGUUGAGGUUGG
RNAcentral lists this microRNA precursor (78 nucleotides) under Calypte anna (Anna's hummingbird). Its description in RNAcentral is "mir-92 microRNA precursor family". It matches the Rfam family "mir-92 microRNA precursor family". Rfam says of the family: This family represents the microRNA precursor mir-92. Human miR-92 has two predicted hairpin precursor sequences: mir-92-1 on chromosome 13 and mir-92-2 on chromosome X. miR-92 has also been cloned from mouse embryonic stem cells. Lineage: Eukaryota; Metazoa; Chordata; Aves; Apodiformes; Trochilidae. The record is from Rfam by way of RNAcentral. RNAcentral also lists the same sequence under 4 other names.